Haemorhous mexicanus (house finch) is the source of this 1519-nucleotide long non-coding RNA. RefSeq lists it as uncharacterized. NCBI's taxonomy places the organism in Eukaryota, Metazoa, Chordata, Aves, Passeriformes, Fringillidae. The record is from RefSeq and is a predicted model, not a curated record. The transcript has 4 exons.
CUGCAGAGAGAUGCGUAUCAGCAUUUAAAAUCUUUAUGUGCAUCAAGACCAAAAAACCUUGCAAAUCAAAAGCUCAAAUAGCUUUGAAAAGGGACUAUAACUCAUAUUCCAAAUGCUGACUCUGAAGCCUUCUAUACCAGAGAGGUUUGGGACUCUGUGGGGGUUAAAUUGUAUAAUGCUAUCUCUCGGCGUGACAAAACAACAGCAGAACUUCUCCCUGCUUGCCGAGUCCUAGUGGAAAUCUGCCAUGAAUGCCCUGCCGCCACGCCCCUCUCCGCCCCCACUGCACCUGAACUCUCACAGCCACAGCCUCGGCCAGCUUCUCCAGCUGUGAGAGUGGGGGGAAGAAGAAAGGGGGGAAGGGAACAGAAACUGCUGCUGCUCCGGCCCAGAGAAGGAUCCCGAAUCCUGGAUCCCGUUGCCCUUCUGCCUGUGCUGGGGAAAGGCGCCGCCGUCCCAGCCUGCCCCAUCCCGGCCUGCUCGCACCGCCGGCUCCCGCAGCCCCGCGCUCGGCCCUGGCUCCGGCCCCGCAGGGCUCUGACCUGCACGGCGGGGCCGGCCUGGGCUCCAUGGCCAAGGUGCACGGAAGUUGGAAGUUAACUUCGCUGGGACCUGCAUCUCAUCGCUGGGCAGGUCGCCACCGGCAACAAGAACCACUGAAAGAGACAAAAAUCAUCCCCCAGAUCUCCUACUCCUACAGCUUUGGAGAAAAUUACCAAUGCUCUGCAAAACAGACAAGCACAUUGUUAGGUUCCAGAUAAACCUUUUUUCCUUGCAGUUCUAGGAGAAACACUGAGACUGUAUGGCUUCAUCUUCCAUUGGGACUCUUCUCAAAAUAAUCCUUUGUUAAUAAUUGAAUGGCUUUUUCUUUCUUACAGGUCACCAAAGACAAUCACUUUUAGAGAUGAUUUCUCAAACUGUCAUUAAGGGCAAGGUGUCUGCCUUGAUGUUCACCAGGGUCUUCCCUGUUUGUGGCCAUCCACUGCCGUGCUCAGUACGCAGCCAGUCGUAUUUGCACAUGAGCUGCCAUAGGAGGACACACAGAGGGUGAACCUCGUUUUUCACAAUGGGGAUAAAAUGGGGCAUGGGGUGCUCAAAUGCCUCAAGAAAGCACCAAAACAACCCAAGCACCACAUUCCCCUCAUGCCUGGGCUGGCAGCCCAGCAGCUCAAGUAGAAGAGUCUUCCAGGAGCUCAGGGGGAGCAGCAGCCCUUGUGCUGAGGCACAGCCUGUGGAGAAAGGGGUGUCCCUGCUGCUGUAACAGCUGGCCCAGGACCAACAGGACCACCUGGAGAGCUGUGCAGGGAGCAGGCAGGAGACACGAGGUGCAGAAGGGACCUCCUUGCUUCCUGAACAUCUCAGAGAGGAGCCAGGCUGCAGCUGGAUGCAGUCCUAGACUAGUCAAUAGUUUAUGUUUAAAGAAUAGUAUAGGUGUAACUGAGCCUUUAUACAACUGUGUUCCAUAGGAUGAAAGAUAUAUUUAUAGAAAAAUAAAGAGUUUAUUAUGAUCACCAUGAAA